RNAcentral lists this ribosomal RNA (505 nucleotides) under uncultured bacterium. Its description in RNAcentral is "bacterial SSU rRNA". It matches the Rfam family "Bacterial small subunit ribosomal RNA", at positions 28 to 526 of the family's 1533-position model. The record is from RNAcentral.
GACGAACGCUGGCGGCGUGCUUAACACAUGCAAGUCGAACGAUGAAGCGGUGCUUGCACCGUGGAUUAGUGGCGAACGGGUGAGUAACACGUGAGCAACCUGCCCCAAACUCUGGAAUAAGCGCUGGAAACGGCGUCUAAUACUGGAUAUGACACCAAUCUGCAUGGGUAUGGUGUGGAAAGUUUUUCGGUUUGGGAUGGGCUCGCGGCCUAUCAGCUUGUUGGUGAGGUAAUGGCUCACCAAGGCGACGACGGGUAGCCGGCCUGAGAGGGGGACCGGCCACACUGGGACUGAGACACGGCCCAGACUCCUACGGGAGGCAGCAGUGGGGAAUCUUGCGCAAUGCGCGAAAGCGUGACGCAGCAACGCCGCGUGGGGGAAGAAGGCCUUCGGGUUGUAAACCCCUUUCAGGAGGGACGAAGGUUCGGCGGUGAAUAGCCGUCCGGACUGACGGUACCUCCACAAGAAGCCCCGGCUAACUACGUGCCAGCAGCCGCAGUAAAAC